CAGUAGCCGCGGUAAUACGUAGGUCCCGAGCGUUGUCCGGAUUUAUUGGGCGUAAAGCGAGCGCAGGCGGUUUGAUAAGUCUGAAGUUAAAGGCUGUGGCUCAACCAUAGUUCGCUUUGGAAACUGUCAAACUUGAGUGCAGAAGGGGAGAGUGGAAUUCCAUGUGUAGCGGUGAAAUGCGUAGAUAUAUGGAGGAACACCGGUGGCGAAAGCGGCUCUCUGGUCUGUAACUGACGCUGAGGCUCGAAAGCGUGGGGAGCGAACAGGAUUAGAUACCCGGGUAGUCCCUGUCUCUUAUACA
Molecule: ribosomal RNA, 301 nt
Filed under: uncultured bacterium
Lineage: Bacteria
Description: partial 16S ribosomal RNA
Rfam family: Bacterial small subunit ribosomal RNA
Source: RNAcentral